This 851-nucleotide ribosomal RNA is filed under the name Flaviporus liebmannii. RNAcentral's name for it is "LSU rRNA". It matches the Rfam family "Eukaryotic large subunit ribosomal RNA", at positions 93 to 932 of the family's 3401-position model. Lineage: Eukaryota; Fungi; Basidiomycota; Agaricomycetes; Polyporales; Steccherinaceae. The record is from RNAcentral.
GUGAAGCGGGAAAAGCUCAAAUUUGAAAUCUGGUAGCAAUGUUGUCCGAGUUGUAGUCUGGAGAAGUGUUUUCUGUGCCGGACCGUGUACAAGUCUCUUGGAAUAGGGCAUCAUAGAGGGUGAGAAUCCCGUCUUUGACACGGACUGCUGAUACUUUGAGAUGCGCUCUCAACGAGUCGAGUUGUUUGGGAAUGCAGCUCAAAAUGGGUGGUAAAUUCCAUCUAAAGCUAAAUAUUGGCAAGAGACCGAUAGUGAACAAGUACCGUGAGGGAAAGAUGAAAAGCACUUUGGAAAGAGAGUUAAACAGUACGUGAAAUUGCUGAAAGGGAAACGCUUGAAGUCAGUCGCAUUGAUCAGAACUCAGCUUGGCUUUCGCUUAGUGCAUUUUCUGGUUAAUGGGCCAACAUCAAUUUUGACUGCUGGAUAAAGGCUUAGGGAAUGUGGCACCUUUGGGUGUGUUAUAGCUCUUGGUCACAUACAGUGGUUGAGAUUGAGGAUCUCAGCAUGCCUUAUGGCCGAGGUUUACCUACGUUCAUGCUUAGGAUGUUGGCAUAAUGGCUUUAAACGACCCGUCUUGAAACACGGACCAAGGAGUCUAACAUGCCUGCGAGUGUUUGAGUGGAAAACUCGAGCGCGCAAUGAAAGUGAAAGUUGGGAUCCUUGUCGUGAGGAGCACCGACACCCGGACCAGACCUUUUGUGACGGAUCCGCGGUAGAGCAUGUAUGUUGGGACCCGAAAGAUGGUGAACUAUGCCUGAAUAGGGUGAAGCCAGAGGAAACUCUGGUGGAUGGCUCGUAGCGAUUCUGACGUGCAAAUCGAUCGUCAAAUUUGGGUAUAGGGGCGAAAGACU